Molecule: ribosomal RNA, 457 nt
Filed under: uncultured Patulibacter sp.
Lineage: Bacteria; Bacillati; Actinomycetota; Thermoleophilia; Solirubrobacterales; Patulibacteraceae
Description: bacterial SSU rRNA
Rfam family: Bacterial small subunit ribosomal RNA
Source: RNAcentral
CGGGGGGCAGCAGUGGGGAAUCUUGCACAAUGCGCGAAAGCGUGAUGCAGCAACGCCGCGUGCGGGAAGAAGGCCUUAGGGUUGUAAACCGCUUUCAGUUGGGACGAAGCUUCAGUCGUUAAUAGUGGCUUGGAGUGACGGUACCUUCAGAAGAAGCGCCGGCUAACUACGUGCCAGCAGCCGCGGUAAUACGUAGGGCGCGAGCGUUGUCCGGAAUCAUUGGGCGUAAAGCGCGUGUAGGCGGCUGAGUAAGUCUGCUGUGAAAGUCCAGGGCUCAACCCUGGAAUGUCGGCGGAUACUGCUCAGCUGGAGUACGGGAGGGGCGAGUGGAAUUCCUGGUGUAGCGGUGGAAUGCGCAGAUAUCAGGAGGAACACCUAUGGCGAAGGCAGCUCGCUGGAACGUUACUGACGCUGAGACGCGAAAGCGUGGGGAGCAAACAGGAUUAGAUACCCCAGU